Molecule: ribosomal RNA, 204 nt
Filed under: Klebsiella pneumoniae
Lineage: Bacteria; Pseudomonadati; Pseudomonadota; Gammaproteobacteria; Enterobacterales; Enterobacteriaceae
Also listed under: 1 other name
Description: partial 16S ribosomal RNA
Rfam family: Bacterial small subunit ribosomal RNA
Source: RNAcentral
AAAUGAAUUGACGGGGGCCCGCACAAGCGGUGGAGCAUGUGGUUUAAUUCGAUGCAACGCGAAGAACCUUACCUGGUCUUGACAUCCACAGAACUUUCCAGAGAUGGAUUGGUGCCUUCGGGAACUGUGAGACAGGUGCUGCAUGGCUGUCGUCAGCUCGUGUUGUGAAAUGUUGGGUUAAGUCCCGCAACGAGCGCAACCCUU